UAUUAUCACAGUGUUGUGCCACCAUAUUACUAGUUAAUCCUUAAACUAUUAACAUUCUUGUCUUCUCUCAUUCUCCAAUGUAACACCUGAUGAAACAAGGCUGAACUCGUCAGGAAAGAGUGAAAAUUCCAGAGCAAGCUAAGCCUACUGGCAAGGACCAGAUGAGAAACCCAAGGACUACAACUAAGAAAUGGGUUUGCACCAGAAAGAUCUAAGAUGGUGCCAGAAAACCCUUCCCAGAUGAAGCCAACAUGACUCAAGCAUGAAACAAUGUUGACUUGUAGGUUAAAAAAAAAAAAGGCAAAUAUUUGCUGCCCCCUGCUGUUCAAGUUUGUUGGCAUUUCUGAUAUUUCUUUUGCUGAAACUGAAAACAAUAAACGUUUUUUCAUUCAAUAAAUGAAUAUAAGCCA
Molecule: long non-coding RNA, 410 nt
Organism: Phyllostomus discolor (pale spear-nosed bat)
Lineage: Eukaryota; Metazoa; Chordata; Mammalia; Chiroptera; Phyllostomidae
Exons: 2
Source: RefSeq, a predicted model, not a curated record